UCCCUGGUGGCUCAGAUGGUUAAGCGUCUGCCUCCAAUGCGGGAGACCUGGGUUCGAUCCCUGGGUUGGGAA
This 72-nucleotide transfer RNA is filed under the name Bos taurus (domestic cattle). It matches the Rfam family "tRNA". From Rfam's summary of the family: Transfer RNA (tRNA) molecules are approximately 80 nucleotides in length. Their secondary structure includes four short double-helical elements and three loops (D, anti-codon, and T loops). RNAcentral also lists the same sequence under 3 other names. Lineage: Eukaryota; Metazoa; Chordata; Mammalia; Artiodactyla; Bovidae. The record is from Rfam by way of RNAcentral.